AGUGAACGCUGGCGGCGUGCUUAACACAUGCAAGUCGAACGAGGACGGAUUAUAGCUUGCUAUAAUUGUCAGCUAAGUGGCGCACGGGUGAGUAAUGUAUAGGUAAUAUGCCUCUUACUAAGGGAUAACAAAUGGAAACGUUUGCUAAUACCUUAUACUCCUUAUUAACAUAAGUUAAUAAGGGAAAGAUUUAUUGGUAAGAGAUUAGCCUGUAUUGUAUCAGUUAGUUGGUGGGGUAAUGGCUUACCAAGACUAUGACACAUAACUGGUUUGAGAGGAUGAUCAGUCACACUGGAGCUGAGACACGGUCCAGACUCCUACGGGAGGCAGCAGUGGGGAAUAUUGCACAAUGGACGAAAGUCUGAUGCAGCAACGCCGCGUGGAGGAUGACACAUUUCGGUGCGUAAACUCCUUUUAUAUGAGAAGAUAAUGACGGUAUUAUAUGGAUAAGCACCGGCUAACUCCGUGCCAGCCGCCGCAGUAA
This 484-nucleotide ribosomal RNA is filed under the name uncultured bacterium. RNAcentral's name for it is "partial 16S ribosomal RNA". It matches the Rfam family "Bacterial small subunit ribosomal RNA", at positions 29 to 523 of the family's 1533-position model. The record is from RNAcentral.